UACGUAGGGACCGAGCGUUGUCCGGAAUCAUUGGGCGUAAAGAGCGUGUAGGCGGCCACUUAAGUCCUGCGUGAAAUCUUGCGGCUCAACCGCAAGCGGUCGUGGGAAACUGGGUGGCUAGAGUGCGGGAGAGGAGAGUGGAAUUCCUGGUGUAGCGGUGGAAUGCGCAGAUAUCAGGAAGAACACCGGUGGCGAAGGCGGCAUCCUGGACCGACACUGACGCUGAUGAGCGAAAGCCAGGGGAGCAAACGGG
RNAcentral lists this ribosomal RNA (253 nucleotides) under uncultured bacterium. RNAcentral describes it as "partial 16S ribosomal RNA". It matches the Rfam family "Bacterial small subunit ribosomal RNA", at positions 524 to 776 of the family's 1533-position model. The record is from RNAcentral.